Molecule: ribosomal RNA, 497 nt
Filed under: uncultured bacterium
Lineage: Bacteria
Description: partial 16S ribosomal RNA
Rfam family: Bacterial small subunit ribosomal RNA
Source: RNAcentral
GAUGAACGCUGGCGGCGUGCCUAAUACAUGCAAGUCGAGCGAACGGACGAGAAGCUUGCUUCUCUGAUGUUAGCGGCGGACGGGUGAGUAACACGUGGAUAACCUACCUAUAAGACUGGGAUAACUUCGGGAAACCGGAGCUAAUACCGGAUAAUAUUUUGAUCCGCAUGGUUCAAAAGUGAAAGACGGUCUUGCUGUCACUUAUAGAUGGAUCCGCGCUGCAUUAGCUAGUUGGUAAGGUAACGGCUUACCAAGGCAACGAUGCAUAGCCGACCUGAGAGGGUGAUCGGCCACACUGGAACUGAGACACGGUCCAGACUCCUACGGGAGGCAGCAGUAGGGAAUCUUCCGCAAUGGGCGAAAGCCUGACGGAGCAACGCCGCGUGAGUGAUGAAGGUCUUCGGAUCGUAAAACUCUGUUAUUAGGGAAGAACAUAUGUGUAAGUAACUGUGCACAUCUUGACGGUACCUAAUCAGAAAGCCACGGCUAACUACGUG